UGAGGAAUGUUGGUCAAUGGGCGGAAGCCUGAACCAGCCAUGCCGCGUGCAGGAAGGAGGCCCUACGGGUUGUAAACUGCUUUUACCCGGGAAGAAACCGCCCCCUGUGGGGGGCGUUGCCGGUACCGGGGGAAAAAGGAUCGGCUAACUCCGUGCCAGCAGCCGCGGUAAUACGGAGGAUCCGGGCGUUAUCCGGAAUUACUGGGUUUAAAGGGUGCGUAGGCGGGGCUUUAAGCCGGCGGUGAAAUGCAGUGGCUCAACCGCUGGAAUGCCGUUGGGACUGGGGCUCUUGGAUACGGUCGGGGCGGGUGGAACUCGUGGUGUAGCGGUGAAAUGCAUAGAUAUCACGAGGAACGCCGGUAGCGAAGGCAGCUCGCCGGGCCGGUAUUGACGCUGAGGCACGAAAGCGUGCGGAUCGAACAG
RNAcentral lists this ribosomal RNA (423 nucleotides) under uncultured bacterium. Its description in RNAcentral is "bacterial SSU rRNA". It matches the Rfam family "Bacterial small subunit ribosomal RNA", at positions 355 to 775 of the family's 1533-position model. The record is from RNAcentral.